Molecule: ribosomal RNA, 119 nt
Filed under: Monopterus albus (swamp eel)
Lineage: Eukaryota; Metazoa; Chordata; Actinopteri; Synbranchiformes; Synbranchidae
Source: RNAcentral
UCCUGUAGCUACGCUGCCCUGGUCGUGCCUGAUCCCGUCUGACCUCAGCAGUUAAGCAGGGCUGUUCUGUUUUAGUACUUAGAUGGGGAACCACCUGGGAAAACCAGGUGCAAUGGUUC